CAGUAGCCGCGGGAAAACGUAGGUGGCAAGCGUUAAUCGGAAUUACUGGGCGUAAAGCGCACGCAGGCGGUCUGACAAGUCAGAUGUGAAAUCCCCGGGCUUAACCUGGGAACUGCAUUUGAAACUGUCAGGCUGGAGUCUUGUAGAGGGGGGUGGAAUUCCAGGUGUAGCGGUGAAAUGCGUAGAGAUCUGGAGGAAUACCGGUGGCGAAGGCGGCCCCCUGGACAAAGACUGACGCUCAGGUGCGAAAGCGUGGGGAGCAAACAGGAUUAGAUCCCCAGUAGUCCCUGUCUCUUAUACA
This 301-nucleotide ribosomal RNA is filed under the name uncultured bacterium. RNAcentral describes it as "partial 16S ribosomal RNA". It matches the Rfam family "Bacterial small subunit ribosomal RNA", at positions 509 to 808 of the family's 1533-position model. The record is from RNAcentral.